Molecule: ribosomal RNA, 414 nt
Filed under: uncultured bacterium
Lineage: Bacteria
Description: bacterial SSU rRNA
Rfam family: Bacterial small subunit ribosomal RNA
Source: RNAcentral
GAUCAACGCUGGCGGCGUGCCUAACACAUGCAAGUCGAGCGCGAAAGGGGGCGAACUCCCAAGUAGAGCGGCGAACGGGUGAGUAACGCGUGGGUAAGUCUACCUUCGAGUGGGGAACAACAGCGGGAAACUGCUGCUAAUACCGCAUGACAUCGCUGGGCUCUCGAGCCUGACGAUCAAAGCCGGGGACCGUAAGGCCUGGCGCUUGAAGAGGAGCCCGCGUCCGAUUAGCUAGUUGGCGGGGUAACGGCCCACCAAGGCUACGAUCGGUAGCCGGCCUGAGGAGGGCGGACGGCCACACUGGGACUGAGACACGGCCCAGACUCCUACGGGAGGCAGCAGUGGGGAAUUUUUCGCAAUGGGGGAAACCCUNACGAAGCAACGUCCGCGUGGGGAUGAAGGUCUUCGGAUUGU